CACCUUUAAAACCUAGAUCCAUAAGUUGGCAUUGGUAGAUAAAAUUCCAUAUCCUAGAAGUUCUGUUAAGACUAAAUUUUGUACCCCCAAAUUUUUUGGUGGAUAACGUUACAUCAUUUAGGUCACCACCAAUUAACCAGGGUCCUUUAUGAAUUUUCGAAAUAUUAACAAGGUUUUCCACAUAUCAUCAUGAGCAUGAAUUUUAGUACUAGCAUAUAUGCAUCUUAGAAGCCAAGUAAAGUGAAAAGGGAUUACCUCAAUUGAUGCAUGGAUUUCUUGGCCCCUUUUAGUGAAGUUAUGGACAAUCACCAAGGUGUGAUCAUACAGGAUGGCCAUGCCACCUGAUUGUCCUGUUGCUGGGACUUCAAUAAUCUCUGUGAAGUCGAAGCUGUCGAGAAGAGAUCCAUGGUUCUCCAUUCUUGUUUCAAGGAGAGCAACAAGGUAGGGUUUAUGAGUAUCAAGGAUGUCCCUAAAACUACGACGGAAGUCGUCAUUGUUUGCACUACGAACGUUCCAAAAAAUCAUCCUAGUGGAUCUCAUCAUUCUAGGGUGAUGGGUUGGGUUUUUGCUCAUCCCCUCCUCCUACAGAUUGGAGUUGGAGGUCCUUCUUUGGCAGGGAACCAGAAUUACUGCAUGGGUUUCCACUGUUGGGUCUCGAAGGAGCCUUAUGUCCAUUGAACAUUUGUACAUUGAGGGAGGGAAAUUGAAAAUGAAUUUCUUGCUCAGCAUCUCCUUGAAUAGUAGUACUUUUACUUCGCUUAGGUUUGCAAAUUCCACAGUCGAUUCCAUGAGAAGUGGAUCGAGUCCUUCCUCCUCUUCUAGGUUGUUUUCUGCUGGUACGGGCACAUUGGGAUGGGGGUUGUCACCAUCUGAGCUGGGUGGUUGUUUUAGACAUCUAUCUAUGCAUGCAUGUCUCAAGGCAUGAAGAUGGGAUUCAGAUGUGUGAUUGCUUCUGGGAUGAAGAAGGGGAGUUCCAGUAGUGGGUUCUAGGGAGCUAAGAUGUUUUCUUGAGGGGGGGGGGGAGGUUCCAUUGUUGGAGCAUUUCUUGGAUCAUGUUUGAGUUCACUAUGGGGGCUAAGGGUUGCAAGACAUUGUUGAUCCAUAUUUGAUUUUGGUAGUUGGUCAUUGCAACCCUCAUCCCUUACGAAAUUAGUUGAGCAAGGUAGGGCGUAUUCUGGAUUAUCAACAUUAUAUCUUGGUCAUUUAUCUCCAUGUUGAACGAUAUUGCAUGGCCUAUCAAGCCUGCUUCUAGCCAGGAUAUUGGUUGGUAAUUCUGAGGGAGUGGUGGAGAGGUGUAGUAGAUCGUGGGUUCUGGAAGUUGGGGAGGAAGAUGGGGGGGNNNNNNNNNNNNNNNNNNNNNNNNNNNNNNNNNNNNNNNNNNNNNNNNNNNNNNNNNNNNNNNGGGGGGGGGGGGGAGAUUGUUCAUGUUUGGAAGGUGUUGUUGUCGGAGGAUUUGAAGAAGUCUGUUUCUUCUUCUCGAUGAGAUGGGAAGCCUGGACAUUAUGAGAAGAAGAAGGGUUUAUAUUGCUAAUUUAUAAGAUAAUGGGAUUGGUGUAGGUAUUUUCCCUAGAAGAUUUUAUAGAAGCAACAUCAAUCUGUAUUGGAUCAGAUUGAGGAAGAGUGUGAGAGUUAGCAAGAUCUUUAGAAGAUUUGUUUUUAGACAUUUGGCUACUGGGAGUUUCCAUUUGGAAAUCGUUAUAAGGUUCGUUGGAAUUUAUGGACAAAAUAGCAUUGGUAUUAUCGUGGGAGUUUAGGGAUGAAUGUGGGGUUUUACUCAGAAUAUAAUCCAUAUUAGAGAUAGGGGCUAAAAUAUCGGGGGAAUGAUUGGUCGAAAUUAAGGGAAUAGGAGCAUGUUUCUUAUGUGAUAAUGAGGAUUUAAGGGUAGGUUCUUGCAUGAUAUUUGCCACGUGUGUCGUCUCUUCUUGCAAAGUGUCAUGCAUGAGUUGCAUGCAUUGGGCGUUAGAGGGAGUAUCAGAUAUUGUGAUGGUGGUUUCAUCAGAAACCAUGGGCUGGCUCAUUAAUGUGGAAAAUUUAUUAUUAAAGAAAUUCAAAUCAUGUUUAACUAAGUCGUUAGUAAUAGAAGUUAGAUUUUUAUUUUUUCCAAGAAUAUUAUUUCCACCAGUCUUUUCCACAUAGGAGAGCUUUUGAGUAUUAAUGUAUUUAUAUGUAUCCGCAUUAAAUAUUCUGACAUUUAUACCUGGGAGGUGUCGAAAAGGAGGAGGAGUUGUAAUGUCUCAAGAAAACUUCUUUUUUGACUUAGCAAAGGAGACCGUUCUCCAAUCACUUGCCAUAGGUUCGAGUUCCUGAUCUGGAGCUUCUGCAUUGGUGGUAGAGAUGUGAGAGGUACUAGGACUUUGCCCAUUGGUGACUGGUGAAAAGUGAUCCUUGAUGUUUGUUACAGCGGAGGAGAAUUGGCAUUGAGUUGCCACAUGGCCUAAUCUCCCACAAUUUUUACAUAAGAAUUUUUCUCCUUUAUAAAGAAUCUCUUGCCUGUGAGUGCCAAUGAAGAUGUGAGGUUUUACUGGUGUGUUCAUAGGAAUUUCUAUACAGAGUCGUGCAUAUCUACCCCUUAAGGUAGAAGAGGUGCAUGCAUCGACCUUUAAUAAUUUGCCUAUCGUAUUGCCAAUCCUUUGAAGAAUGUGUGUAUGUGUGUGUGUGUGUGUAUGUAUAUAUAUAUAUAUAUAUAUAUAUCAUGCCUUUAAAACACUUUGGUAAUGCUCCCAAAUAAUGAAUCAGAGCACAUGGAGCCAUUUCCUUAUCUUUUUUUAUGUCAAGAAAAAAAAUGGCAGACUAACUGAUAUUUAUAUCAGUUAAUGAAAGAGCCCAAUGCAAAAAAAAUGCAUGUUGGAUCUUUGAAACAGUUCAGAUCAUUUGAAUAAUAAUAAGUUUGACCUGUUUUACCGAGAAGGUCUACGGUUCGAGUCCGA
This 2927-nucleotide long non-coding RNA is filed under the name Nicotiana benthamiana. Its description in RNAcentral is "long non-coding RNA (NBEN_LNC017533)". Lineage: Eukaryota; Viridiplantae; Streptophyta; Magnoliopsida; Solanales; Solanaceae. The record is from RNAcentral.